AAGACUCCUAACCCCUCCGUAACUAAUGCCCUGCUGCUAAUCUGACUGCACCCUCGGGACGAGGGAUUCUCAACAGGUUUGGGAACAGUGAAGAAACCCCUGGUUCCAUGUCUUGUUGGGUUCAGGUGUCUGUCACAGUAACGCAGCCUCGUGCACGAGGAUACCGGGUACCCUUAAUGUUUGCAACACAACACUCCCCCUAGUUUCACAAUGACCUCACGGCCGAGGUGCUCCAGCACAGUGACAUCAACUGGCACCCAGGAAAGGUUAACAUUUGAAAGGCUGCACGUCCAGACACAAGGGUGCAGACCAGCAUGUCCAGACCAUCUGCUGUCUCCAGAGAUGUCUUCAACCUCUCCCUGACCCUGUCCGUCCAAUAUCUCUCCAACAUCUUAUGCUGUCAGGCCCCGACUCCUGAGCCCAGGAAUGCAAAGGCAACUUGCGUCUAUGGCAACCACCCAGCAGCACCCACAUCUGUUGCUAUGACACCUUUUGUGUCGCCAUGACAUUUUGAAAUGCUUGUGAUGGAUCAGAUCAGUGGCGUCACGCUGGACGUCCUGCCCCAAAACAGAGCCACAGGGAACGCAUUCUCAGUUCCACUCUACACUGCCCUGUCCCACCUGGAAAAGAGGAAUACCUGCAGCACCUUCCAAAAACUGUAGUGACUUACUUUAUAAAAGAUUGUUGCAGUCAAUCUUCACAAAAUACCCCAUAACAACCAAGUUAAAAUAUGUUUUUAGAAAU
Long non-coding RNA from Esox lucius (northern pike), 744 nucleotides. RefSeq lists it as uncharacterized. The transcript is spliced from 4 exons. NCBI's taxonomy places the organism in Eukaryota, Metazoa, Chordata, Actinopteri, Esociformes, Esocidae. The record is from RefSeq and is a predicted model, not a curated record.